CACGUAGGGUGCGAGCGUUGUCCGGAAUUAUUGGGCGUAAAGAGCUCGUAGGUGGUUUGUCGCGUUGUCCGUGAAAACUCACAGCUUAACUGUGGGCGUGCGGGGCGAUACGGGCAGACUGGAGUACUGCAGGGGAGACUGGAAUUCCUGGUGUAGCGGUGGAAUGCGCAGAUAUCAGGAGGAACACCGGUGGCGAAGGCGGGUCUCUGGGCAGUAACUGACGCUGAGGAGCGAAAGCGUGGGGAGCGAACAGG
This 254-nucleotide ribosomal RNA is filed under the name uncultured bacterium. RNAcentral's name for it is "partial 16S ribosomal RNA". It matches the Rfam family "Bacterial small subunit ribosomal RNA", at positions 524 to 776 of the family's 1533-position model. The record is from RNAcentral.